GUACACGCUGUGACUAGCAUAUCAAUAAGCGGAGGAAAAGAAACUAACAAGGAUUCCCCUAGUAACGGCGAGUGAAGCGGGAAGAGCUCAAAUUUGAAAUCUUAAAGGGUUUCCCUUUACGAAUUGUAGUUUAAAGAAGUGUUUUCUGUUGAGGUUUUGGUAAAAGUUCUUUGGAAUAGGACAUCAUAGAGGGUGAGAAUCCCGUAUUUGACCUUUACUUUCAACUUUGUGAUACACUUUCAAAGAGUCGGAUUGUUUGGGAAUGCAGUCCAAAAUGGGUGGUAAAUUUCAUCUAAAGCUAAAUAUUGGCGAGAGACCGAUAGCGAACAAGUACCGUGAGGGAAAGAUGAAAAGAACUUUGAAAAGAGAGUUAAACAGUACGUGAAAUUGUCAAAAGGGAAGCGUUUGACACCAGUGUUGUUCUUCUGAAAAUCAAUUAAAGAACUGUUUAUGCUAAGUUGUUUAGACUUUAUCAGCUAUCUGUUUAGUUUUGAGCUUUUCUUUAAUGCACUUUUCAGUUAACAAGUCAACAUCAAUUUCUUUUGCUGUAAAAAAGCUUGAGGAAGGUGGCUUGAGAUUCGUCUUAAGUGUUUAUAGCCUCUUGCCUAUGCAGUCGGAGAGAUUGAGGUCUGCAGCGUAGAUCCUUCGGGGCUAAAUGCAUUUGUGCUAAGUUAUAGCAUUUUAUAGACAACUUGUUGACUAUGAUUUGUCUUGUAGCUUACUCGCUUAUGUUAUUUUACCUACGCUUAGGAUGUUGAAGAUGUAGCACAUCA
RNAcentral lists this ribosomal RNA (773 nucleotides) under uncultured Neocallimastigales. Its description in RNAcentral is "partial large subunit ribosomal RNA". It matches the Rfam family "Eukaryotic large subunit ribosomal RNA", at positions 22 to 635 of the family's 3401-position model. Lineage: Eukaryota; Fungi; Neocallimastigomycota; Neocallimastigomycetes; Neocallimastigales. The record is from RNAcentral.